Molecule: ribosomal RNA, 210 nt
Filed under: uncultured Variovorax sp.
Lineage: Bacteria; Pseudomonadati; Pseudomonadota; Betaproteobacteria; Burkholderiales; Comamonadaceae
Description: partial 16S ribosomal RNA
Rfam family: Bacterial small subunit ribosomal RNA
Source: RNAcentral
AUAACGCAGCGAAAGCUGUGCUAAUACCGCAUACGAUCUACGGAUGAAAGCAGGGAUCGCAAGACCUUGCGCGAAUGGAGCGGCCGAUGGCAGAUUAGGUAGUUGGUGAGGUAAAGGCUCACCAAGCCUUCGAUCUGUAGCUGGUCUGAGAGGACGACCAGCCACACUGGGACUGAGACACGGCCCAGACUCCUACGGGAGGCAGCAGCG